CACAGCCCAGAGGAGCUUAUUCCACUUCAGUCCCUCUCUUGCCUGGGGAAAGAAAUGACUGCAUCCCUUAAACCCCGGGCCAAAACCGCUCAGAGCACAUGAAGAUGUUGCAGCUGCUGGACCUGCAGCUGCUCCCGGGUUGGGGGAGCAAACAGAGGCCUGCCUGAUGCUGCACGACUACAAGGAAAAGCCUUUGGGCAACAGUUUUCACACAGCUGCGUUGUGUGUCGCCAUCAGCAACAAGAACACGGACCAGAUUCUAAAGGAGAACAGAUUUUGCCCUUGCGAUGAGUUAGCAAUGUGGUGGUACAGCAAUGGGCAGAAGCAAAACCAACACAGCGACCCUGGAUGACACCAACUCGGCAAGUGGAAAAAAGAGGUCCUGGUCCCUCAGGUCAACAGGCAGGACUGUGAUUCACAGAGAGCUAUGUCCAUUUUUAUACCCUCCGUUUCAAAGUCAAACCACACCUCAAAAUAGAAACUGCAACUCCAACUUAACCCGUCCGAAAUCCAGAUGAAGGAAGGUUCUCAGUGCCAUGUACUAACCACCAGUGGAUUCAAGUGCAGUGGGAAGAAGGAAACAGUAAUGUUGAUUCAAUGUUAACAUGUGCACUUGUCCAAGCCAAACAAAACAUGUACUUUUGAUUUCAUGUUAAACAGUGCUGAAGGGAUCAUUCAGCUUCUUGUUGUGUGGCUUUUUUUUUUUUUCUUAAUCAUUCUACAGUUGUCAAGAAUAUCUGAUUUAUUUAUUUAUCCUCUAAGCAAUGCUAAACUCAGUGCCAAGAACGAAAGCUCACUGAUUAAUCAUGGAGACAAAAUGCUUAGUAAUUUGUCUGGUGUCAUAGCCAGUUAGGCUGGAAAAAAUAAGAAAAUCAGCUGAAGAUGGAUAGCUACCAGCCAACAAAUGAGGGGGAGAGAACUGAUGUGAAAACAGACAGUACUUGCUUAUUAGAUAGACAUCAAGUUCACAUUUUCUAGCUUAUCCACGUGGGAAAUGGAUGACUGACUGCAACUGGAGCGUCUCCUAAAAUGGUCUGAUUUUCAUGGACUGCUGAGAAACUAUUCAUCCUACUGAUGUCCUGAAAUCAAACACAGAUUUCAGACUCCUGCCUUCUAGGUGUGCAUGUUUGGGAAUACAAGCCAACAGGUCAAUUUACAAGAAAAUCUCAGCAAACAUAUCCUCAGUAAAUGCCACAAUACUUCGAGCGUGAAAAAAAAUGUGGGCUGCAUGUUUAGCUGGUCAUUGACCAAGGUGAACACUUCAGCUACACAGAACUGGAUUCUCCCCUGCCUUUUUCCCCCAGCAAAAACACUGAAAGUGAAAAGAAUGUUUAAACUCAGUGCUGGGGAAAACCAUCCGAUGGCUCAAGUAUGGGAAAUCACCACCUCUUUUCUUGCAAAGAAGAGACAACUCCUACGACAACAUUUCCCAUGAGACUGCAUGCUCACCAUGAGGGCACCAAGGGUUUGGGGCAGGUGGCCCUGCAGGCUUGUCCCAAAGGAAACACCAGCUUCACCAAUGGGACGUGUGCUCCCACACCUCCUGCCACCACAGCUGCAGCUGCCUCCAUCCCCAUGUCGGACCCACCGCCGCCUCAGCUGCGAGCGCUGGAAACUCCACCGCUUGGCACCAGGGAACUUCACGUGAGCAAUCCUGACAGGGCCACUGGAUCACCUCCAGGGGAGCAGCACUUUAAGGGCUAAAAAUACACGAGCAUGAUGCAACGCCGAUGUGCAGAUUUGAGCUGGUUUGAGGUUUUGGUUUUUAAAAGUCAUCGCACUUUGCAGUGCUUGCAAUCAUUUGCAGCACUUUUUGUGGUUUCUUUUUUCAUGUAUGGAUUUUUUUCACAAUUAUGCUUCUUGUUUUAUACAGCGUGAUGCCAGAAAACUGGUAGAAAAUGUAGUUCCAUUUUCUAUAAGCAGAUAUACAUUGUUGUCACUAAUAAAAGUGACACUGUCAAUCUAUUUUAUUGCAGUUUAGUGAAGGGUUUUCAACCUGAAGCAAUCAAAAACUAGGCUGGGGACCUAUAAAGCAAAGCUCCUUGGCUUACAUUGCAAAUAGUUGUACAUCAACAGAUGAUAAAAAGAUACAUGGAGCAGUUUUUCCCCACAACUUGGUCAAUUUGCUUAAAAUUUGAGAAAAGCCUUAAAGUCCCAAAAUGCAAUCAGAUGUGCUAAGCCCUAUCAGCCAGGGAGUGAUCCUCCCACCUGCUUCCAGUGCAGAAUGACUCUGCAGUGCUACUUUUACUUCAUGCCAAUCACCUGAUUAAUGUGAAGGGAGUAAAGACCUCAUACAUGUAUACAGGCACAUCUGCAUUGAGGUAAGGUUGGGACAAAUGAGUAAAUACAUACUUCUGAGAGAGGUCAGGCAUCAUAAAUUAUCCAUGGCCACGUGCACUCUGUGGGGGUAUUUCCCCACCCCUUUUAGAAGGUUUAUGUUGGAU
Long non-coding RNA from Lagopus leucura (white-tailed ptarmigan), 2444 nucleotides. RefSeq lists it as uncharacterized. The record is from RefSeq and is a predicted model, not a curated record. The transcript has 3 exons. Lineage: Eukaryota; Metazoa; Chordata; Aves; Galliformes; Phasianidae.